RNAcentral lists this ribosomal RNA (484 nucleotides) under uncultured bacterium. RNAcentral describes it as "partial 16S ribosomal RNA". It matches the Rfam family "Bacterial small subunit ribosomal RNA", at positions 28 to 507 of the family's 1533-position model. The record is from RNAcentral.
AUUGAACGCUGGCGGCAUGCUUUACACAUGCAAGUCGAACGGCAGCGCGGGCUUCGGCCUGGCGGCGAGUGGCGAACGGGUGAGUAAUGCAUCGGAACGUGCCCAGUAGUGGGGGAUAGCCCGGCGAAAGCCGGAUUAAUACCGCAUACGACCUGAGGGUGAAAGCGGGGGACCGAAAGGCCUCGCGCUAUUGGAGCGGCCGAUGUCGGAUUAGCUAGUUGGUUGGGUAAAGGCUUACCAAGGCGACGAUCCGUAGCUGGUCUGAGAGGACGACCAGCCACACUGGGACUGAGACACGGCCCAGACUCCUACGGGAGGCAGCAGUGGGGAAUUUUGGACAAUGGGGGCAACCCUGAUCCAGCCAUGCCGCGUGCGGGAAGAAGGCCUUCGGGUUGUAAAGCGCUUUUGUUCGGGAAGAAAUCCUCUGGGCUAAUACCCCGGGGGGAUGACGGUACCGGAAGAAUAAGCACCGGCUAACUACGUG